CAGCCGCCACGGGAAUACGUAGGGCGCAAGCGUUGUCCGGAAUUAUUGGGCGUAAAGAGCUCGUAGGCGGUCUGUCGCGUCUGGUGUGAAAUCCCGAGGCUCAACCUCGGGCUUGCAUCGGGUACGGGCAGACUAGAGUGCGGUAGGGGAGACUGGAAUUCCUGGUGUAGCGGUGGAAUGCGCAGAUAUCAGGAGGAACACCGAUGGCGAAGGCAGGUCUCUGGGCCGCAACUGACGCUGAGGAGCGAAAGCAUGGGGAGCGAACAGGAUUAGAUACCCGGUAGUCCCUGUCUCUUAUACA
RNAcentral lists this ribosomal RNA (301 nucleotides) under uncultured bacterium. Its description in RNAcentral is "partial 16S ribosomal RNA". It matches the Rfam family "Bacterial small subunit ribosomal RNA", at positions 509 to 808 of the family's 1533-position model. The record is from RNAcentral.